This 669-nucleotide long non-coding RNA is filed under the name Paramuricea clavata. Lineage: Eukaryota; Metazoa; Cnidaria; Anthozoa; Malacalcyonacea; Plexauridae. The record is from RNAcentral.
UUCGAAACAUCAUGGAUUCAUGGGUUCUUGUACAGAUGACCUGUUUCAACACGCGCUUGUGAAGUCUCUUCAAAGACUGGACAAAGCCGGACUGGAAAUUAAAGAGAAGUAAUUCGAAGCUUUAUCGUCCAUGGUAUGUUGUAUAUUAAAAGGAACAAGAACGACAUGUGACAUGUCUAAACGGCGGUGUGUGUCUGUUUACUGGGUUACAACAACGGCAAUAACAAUGAAUCACCUAACAUUUCAAGAAAAUAUAAAUUAUAGAUAGAUGUCAUGUAUGACGCCAUGAGUUUUGGAUUUGAAUUGCUAGAUUUAAAUCUGUAUUAUGUAUACAAAAUCAUGCGUGCGUAAAUUUGAGCAAAAAAGCACAAGGUGUUUGUUUGGCCAUAUGCCUAUCAUGUAGUAUGAAUAUUGAACACCAUUUUACUGUAUAUAGCACGUUUAAAACGUUAUUUCCAUGCUGGAUAAUCCUGAAUCCUUCACCGAUUAGAUGCCGUGGCAAAUGAAGAAAAAUAAUUAUGUAAAAUAAUUAACCUAAUAUGUCUUUGGCCAUGAAUGCAACUCACUAUGCUUCUUGAUACAUCUGACAGUCAAAACUAUGUGCAUGACUGUAUGGCUCAAUGUAUGUUAAUUGUUUCAGGGAAAUUUUUGUGUUCAGAUUAAAGUAUA